GAGCCCAAGGAAUCACUGCUGCCCCUCUCCUGUGGGUGGCUGGGGGUCCUCUUGUACCUGCUGUGCUGCUCCAGUUGAGCCCUGGACACCAACCACUCCUCCUCCAUGUUCCAGGGGCUUGGGAAGCUCGUUGGGAAACUGCUCCAAGGAGGCUUUGGGACCUUCCAGAGCAGAGGGGAGAUAUGUCCAUGUGUGACCUUCUUGACAGACAUUUUUGGCCCCAGAAUAGGCUGAUUUGGUGAAAGGAGAGCACGCAGCAGCCGACAGGGAGAGCUCUCACCACCCCCAGCGAGGCUGAGACUCGCUCUCGGGUUCCUCCCUUCAAGUUUGUCCCACUUUCUGGCCCACUAAAUGUCUGAUUGUCAACAUCAACAGUGAGAACUGCACAGCCUGUUCAGCACAGCUGGGAUGCACAGAGAUGAAUGAUGAGAGGACACUGUGUGUGCUGCCUGGCUCCCAGCUCCUGAAGCAACACCAGGCCCUGAACCACAAGUGUUGCCUUCCUUGCUGAGACAACCCCCAACACCCCUCCUUCCUGCUGCACUGCCCUGACUGAGGUGAAGAAUUGUGAUGACCAAAGUGGCAGCUUGGAAAAGGCCAAGCAGCCUGGGACUGCAGGGCAAGUGAGGGCUGAGGGCAAGUGAGGCUGGUGUCUCACCUCCAUCUCGCAGACCUGGGUCUGCAGCUGAAGACACCUCCCUUCCAGCUCUUCCAGGGUGGAUGAGUCAGGAGCACCUGAAAAAGAAGAGCUGAUGUUUCUGUGCACAGACUUAAAGAAGAGCUGUAGAUAAAACCUGUGACACAGCACAGACCCCCAGCAGCACCCUGCCUGCACUGUGAGUGACCUCAAGCGUGACACAGGAGCUGAACAUGAGCUCUGAGUGCUGGACUCUGACAGUUCAGCCUGCAGUGGUUUGACAAGGAUGCUGACAGACCAGGAGAUAGCUGUGAACGACACUGGCCAAGUUUUACGGUGCAGGAAGCUGAUUGUUGUCCCCUGGAGCAGGAGGGGAGGCUGCCUUGCACUGGAUUCCUGGUCCUAGGAGACAGCCUGGUAUCUUCUGAGAAGGAGCACGGAGAGCAUGGAAGGAAGAAA
Manacus vitellinus (golden-collared manakin) is the source of this 1096-nucleotide long non-coding RNA. RefSeq lists it as uncharacterized. The transcript is spliced from 4 exons. NCBI's taxonomy places the organism in Eukaryota, Metazoa, Chordata, Aves, Passeriformes, Pipridae. The record is from RefSeq and is a predicted model, not a curated record.